UAAGGGCGUGCGUCUCCUAAGGACUGAGGAGUGAGGGCCACCUGCUCUGCCUGCCCCAUCCAAGUGCCAGGGAAGCACUCCACACCCAACAUUUCAUCUCUUCAGUGGCCUGUGCGUGGGGAGCAGUGAGCUGGUGACCAAAUUGCCAGGCCCAGGAUUGCUGGCGUGGCCCCGUGCAGCUCCCCAGAGCCGGGUCGCAGUCUCUUGUGCCCUGGGACGUGCCAUGCUUGCUCCUUUCUGGACAGAGGGGUUCUGCUCAGCCUUGCAGUUACCCCAAGUGCCAAUGGUGGAGGGAGAGGGGUUGCUUCUGGUCCCCCCAAGAACCAUGCCAGGUGCAAUAUCUUCAAGCACAGGACAGUGGCUGGGGGAAGGGCGGUGGCCUGUCAGGCUCUGAGGGGAGGAGGGAGGCUGUGGCUCCCUCACUGCCUGGCUCUGUGACCCACACCAGCCCCACCGAGCAGCUGGGGCUCAGGCUCCUCACACCAUUGAGGACUGGGCGGGACCAAGGACCAGGGCCAAGGACUUCUCCGACCCGGACAACUUCCAGGCCCCUUCUCCCAGCCAGCCAAGGCUGUGAUCCUCGGGAUCUGGCCAGCCUGGGGCUCAGCUGGCUCUGCGGACACUGUUUCUGCAGUGAGUCUGUGGGUGCUUCCUGGGCACCCACAAAGAGCCAGGCCUGGCAGGGCUCUGGACGGGAGGCAGCAGCACAAGGAGGAGCAGAAGCACCUGGGGCUUUGGAGGUCACUGCUUGA
RNAcentral lists this long non-coding RNA (752 nucleotides) under Fukomys damarensis (Damara mole-rat). RNAcentral's name for it is "lncRNA (ENSFDAG00000032690.1)". Lineage: Eukaryota; Metazoa; Chordata; Mammalia; Rodentia; Bathyergidae. The record is from RNAcentral.